RNAcentral lists this long non-coding RNA (251 nucleotides) under Nicotiana benthamiana. Its description in RNAcentral is "long non-coding RNA (NBEN_LNC026725)". Lineage: Eukaryota; Viridiplantae; Streptophyta; Magnoliopsida; Solanales; Solanaceae. The record is from RNAcentral.
AAAGAUUCAUGGUCUGUUAACACUGGAUCAACUUCCUUGCCUAUGGAUGAUGAGAUAUUUUUAGUAAUUUUGCCACAUUCAGAAGCUACUCCACCUAUACCUCCUUUGAUUCAUGCUUCAAUGUCACCACCAACUUAACCUAUUUCUACAAAUUCACCUAGAGUUCAUCUUAUUACUUUGCCAUAGUCACGAGGUGUACCCUUGGAAUUUGAAUCCUUAGCAGGUGAAUCCGCAACAAUUGAAUCCUUAGC